Molecule: RNA transcript, 1187 nt
Organism: Ziziphus jujuba (common jujube)
Lineage: Eukaryota; Viridiplantae; Streptophyta; Magnoliopsida; Rosales; Rhamnaceae
Gene name: protein cornichon homolog 1
Exons: 5
Source: RefSeq, a predicted model, not a curated record
AAACUUGAAAUUAUAAAAUUUUAAAUGAUUCGAUGAGAACGAUUUAAACCAAAAAUUUGGGAGAAAAGCAAAUAUUUUUUGAAAAGUAUAAAUAUUUUGGAAGGCUCCGUUCCUUCUUCUAAAAACCCUUAGCUCAUACUCUGGCAAUUUUUCAUACACGUUAAGAGCUAUUGAUUUGCUUUGAUUUCGCAGACAAAAAUGAGCUGGGACUUGAUCUUCUGGAUAAUCUGCUUCGCCAUUGACCUAGGCCUCCUUGCUUCCACCUUCUAUCAGCUGGUGAUUUUGACGGACUUGGAGGCUGACUAUAUAAACCCUUUUGAAUCAUCUUCCCGCAUUAACUCUUUGGUGUAUCCUGAGUUCAUUGUGCAUGGAGUUCUUUGUGCACUUUUCCUCUUGACAUGGCACUGGUUCUUGUUCCUAAUUACUCUUCCCAUGUCUGCCUAUUUCGUGAUGCUGUUUUUGAAGCGCAAGCAUCUUGUUGAUGUUACUGAAGUGUUUAGGCUUCUAAAUGCUGAGAAGAGAUUGAGGAAAUUGAAGCUUGCAUUCUAUCUGGGUCUCCUUGUUAUAAUCAUCUUCAGUUGCAUUUUUAACUGGAGAAUUGGACAGAUCCAGUAAAAUCUUUUUAUGACUUUGAAAUCUUCCAUGAUCUAUGAACUCCUUUUUAUGGCUUACAUUAUCUGCUUUCAACUCUUUAACUAAUGAGGAAGAUGCUGUGAAUAUAUUUUGAUUUUCCACUGACAGUAUGAUAGCAACUCAUUGUAAGUUUGUUCCAUGUACUUGAUGACUGAGAAAAUGUGAAUUUUGGGCCUUCUAGCCUAGGGGGAUGGGUGCAUAAAAGCUAAAGAUUAGGAGGGGGGGAGGGGGGGGGGGAGGAGGGGAAACCUUCAAUUUGUAUACUUUCUACGUAUUGUUAACCGUAACCCUUUGAUUUGGCAUGGAGAGCAUUGCCAUUGAGGCAUGACACAUUGAUAUUGGUAAUACUUGUGUCCGGACCUCAAGCACUCAGGAAUCAAGAUGAAAAUGUCUGCUUUGUGAAAAGCUUUAUGAAAAUACGCAUGACUAUAUUUUUGUUGUCUAUCUAAGUUUUUGAUGGUUCGAUAGUAUAUUUUUAUAUUUGUACUGAACCUUAUACUCGUAUUGCAAACCUAUUUGUGAUAUCAAUAUAUAUAUAUAUAUAUAUAUAUGUA